This is a long non-coding RNA of Carassius gibelio (silver crucian carp), 1207 nucleotides long. RefSeq lists it as uncharacterized. The transcript is spliced from 3 exons. The record is from RefSeq and is a predicted model, not a curated record. Lineage: Eukaryota; Metazoa; Chordata; Actinopteri; Cypriniformes; Cyprinidae.
GGCCAAACAACACGAGAACAAGUAAGUGAUAAAACAAUCUUUAUUUAAAUAUUUAAAAAUAGCUUGGGGAAUAGGGAAAGGGCAAUUAAAACUAAACUCUGACUCGGCCCUCCAGAUGGGCUAUGGCCGGGAAGAGGUCAGGGAGCAAGGGGGCCACGGGGAUCCGGGGCGUGGGACUCGGGGCCCGGCCAGAGUCUUAGGUAUCCGUAGCGCCCUCCUUCUUCCUCCUCUUCGCUGAAUACAACUCACGGUAAGUACUGGUUCACACAGUUCGUUCUCGGGGUGCUCACUCUCUUUCUCUUCCUCCACAGGCAACGGCUGGGACGCAAAGGCACAGUUAAUUCGGCUUGGUUUUGCUCUCACCUCUUCGCUGAUUGCAGCUCACAGUAAGUACUGGUUCACACAGUUCGUUCCUUGGGUGCUCACUCGCUUUCUCUUUCUCCACAGGCAGCGGCGUAAGUACAGGUUUCCUCGGUCUCUCCUCGUGUUACCCACUCUCUCUCCUUUUCUCUCCACAGGUAUCAACUUGGGCACAAUAGCACAGUUAGUUUGCUUUGAAUGGCUCUCACCUCUGGGCUGGACACAGCGUACUGUAAGUACAGGUUUCGCUCUAUUUCUCCUCGCGUUAUCCACUCUCUCUCCUCCUCUCUACAGGUAUCAACUUGGACACAAAACACAGUUACUCUGCUUUGGAUGGCUUUCACCUCUGGGCUGGACACAACGUACUGUAAGUACAGGGUUCGCUCUAUUCCUCCUCGUGUUAUUCACUCUCUCUCCUUUUCUCUCCACAGGUAUCAACUUGGGCACAAUAGCACAGUUAGUUUGCUUUGAAUGACUCUCACCUCUGGGCUGAGCACAGCGUACCGUGCUAUCUCCGGAGAUCUGAAGCACGCUCACAACAUAUACUGUACUGAACUAGGCUAGAACCAGCAGUCUCCUUGUCCUCCCGCGACGGAGUGCGUGAAGGCGGGGGUUUAUCUGACAGGACACACGGCAAUACACAGCAACCCACAGCAAUAUACAGCACCACGUCAAAAAUUAUAGGUUUUCACAGCACGAAGACUCACCCACCACACUCAGUGUACGAAAAGGACACCCGUCUUCCUUCACUUCGCUUGGUUCGGAUCUGGCGAUGGAAUAUGCGGCCUAGCUAGUGAUGUCGUCGUUGUGACUACUUCAAUAAGUAUUCCUUCGGCUCUCCCACCAC